UCGAAAGACAACCUCCUUCCACGUGAGCGCUUUCUUCCUUCAGCCUUCUCGUUAUCCUGAACGCGGCAAUCUCCGAAGGUCCCAUCCAAAACCUCGCCGCCGGAUUCGCACCUCACUCUCGCCCGCGCACUACGAAUUGACUGACGCCUACGCCCUACCGCUGCAAGCAGCACCAUAGCGGGAGCCGCUACCAUGGCGUCCUGCUACAACCCGUGGCGCCUAUUCCCAGGCAUGUCGACGGCGGUCCCUGCCGGGCCCGUCACGGCGCCGGCUCAUUCUCGCACCUGCAAGUCCUCGAAAGUGUUCAGUGCUUUGCCUCACCGGAGGGGUCUGCUGUUCCUGGGCACGCGGCGUGCCAGGAUCAAGUGCGUCAAGGACGACUCUCUCCAUUUCGACCCGUCGAAGAUAGAACCGCCACCGUACUCCAGCUACUUCGACUCCACAUCCGGUCAGCUCGAGCCGGCGUCGGGCGCUCGGGCAAGCAUACCCGGGAAGGAGUACUGGCCAGAGGGCACGGCGGCCCGCGUCCGUGCCGCGCGAGCGCCUGCUCCGGUUGGGGAGUCAGCUGGGAUGCCAUCAUUUGGCACGAAGCCCGGGAGCAGGAGGAGAGGGUAUAAGGAGCAGGUGACGUCGGCGUCAGGAACGGAGGGUGCACAGACUGAUGACAGAAAGGAUGGUGAUGAACCUGAUGUGGCUAUUAUAGGCUCUGGGGACGAUGCAUUGGAGGAGAUAAAGGAUUCGGUGGAUGAGUAUGUCAUUUAUGAGACACCAGAGGAAGAGGAGCUGAGUGAGUAUGACAUGGACAAAAUGAUGGGGCGGCCACACCCGUUCAUUGAUCCAGCAAAGGCAAUGUCACUAGGGGAGCCGAAAACCAGUGAAGAGCUCUGGUGGCACUGGAGGAGGAAGUCUCAGGAGGAGGAAAUGUGGUCAAGAUGGCAGAGGAGGCGUCCAGAUGUUGACACGGUUUUUGCAAAGGCAAUGGCGGAGACUGGGCAAAUUAAAAUUUUUGGGGACCAUCCUUCACGGACAGAAGCUGCUCUUGCAAAGACAAGAAGACAUUUGUACAAAGAGGAAAGGUUAGAAGCAGAGCAAAGGAGACUAGAAGAAAUAGGGCCAAUAGCGUACUACUCAGAAUGGGUUGAAGCUUAUAAAAACAAGGAUACAUCACGUGAGGCCAUACAGAAGCACUUUGAGGAAACUGGCGAAGAUGAGAAUGUUCAACUUAUAAAAAUGUUUCAACACCAAACUGCUGGGGAAUAUCGUAUCAUGAUGGGCACCGAUGUGCGUAUUCAGCGAGAUCCUUUGGCCAUGAGAAUGCGGGAAGACCAGAUCAAACAGAUUUGGGGCGGUGAUCCUGUCUAUCCAACAAUUAAUUAUGUUCAGGAUCCUGAUGAAGUGAUUGACUACAGAGGUCCUGAAUUUCAUGAGCCUACCCCUGAAGUUGUACCUUACCUGAUGGAGCAUGGGAUAAUGAUCACAAAGGAAGAGCUAUAUGCACGUCUGAAUGAAGAGAGAGAGGACGUCAAUCAAGACAUAACGUAUAUUCCUGAAGCUAAAGAUCCUAUGGCUACCGCCAUUGAUAUAGGAGAGCAUUCUUACAAUGAAGACAGUGAUGAUGAGGAUGAGGAUGUCGAUAAAGCUGCUGCACAGCCUCAAUCACUAGAGGAUGAGGAAGACGAUAGGGAUGAUGUUGCAGAAGUAGAAGAGAAAGUGAACCAGAAUUGGAGUGCUCUAAAGUCUACUGGACAGGCUGAAAAGCCCAAGGAAAAAUCAAAGAAAGAUGAAAUGACACUAAAAGAAGCUAUUGACGAUUCUGAGAACCUAACUGACUUUCUUAUGGACUUUGAGGAAACCGAGUAAUACUCUGGACAUUUUGCUAUUCUGUCCCAUCACACAUGGACUGGAGCAAUGAAAGGAAACACUGGUCGAGUAGCCCCUUAAUCAUUUCUUUGAUUCUUCCCAAGGCUUGAAGCUGCAGCUCUAAUUAGCCUGAGGGAUUCAACAAAGUCAUCCAGCAGCUUAUGAGAAUCUGGAAAUUAUUCUUGAGAACUUACUUCUGGAGACUCAUAGCCCUUAGGGGCUAGGGGCGAUGAAGAAAACUGGAUGUCCACAAAACUCUACUUGCUCAAUACGAUGGAAGGUAGCUCCAGCUGCCUGUUUUGAUUCACAAGUUGGCAAUGCUAUCAGAAAAAAGGAAUCCAGAUAGAAUGUUGUGGCGCAUGGCUCAAGAAUUGACAACAAUCUUCAUGCUUUUGAAGAAACAAGAGAAGCCACAAAACAAGAGAUAAGGAGUAGCUUAACCAUUUGCAGUUGGAACUAUGUUAGCCUUCUUAGGCUGUCCGCAGAAGAUCGUGUAAAAUAGGAAAUUCACACUGUAGAUUACAUUAUUUGCAGAGUUAAGUUUGAAAAAGAAGAUAAGACAUGAGAUGAGAUAUGAUAGCUGCUAGAGACAGUGUUACACCAUAAAUAAUAUAUUUCGACUAGGCAUGAGCUGUGCGUUUUUAGAUAAGUUUGCCAGUUAGGGUGUGUGUGGUUUAUUGGUUACAAUGAUGCGACGAGAUAAGACAAGACAAUAUAAGCUUGUUUGGUUCAGAGUUGGGACAGGGAAAUAUUCUAAUUUGAUACC
Molecule: RNA transcript, 2626 nt
Organism: Zea mays
Lineage: Eukaryota; Viridiplantae; Streptophyta; Magnoliopsida; Poales; Poaceae
Gene name: plastid transcriptionally active chromosome 12-like protein
Exons: 13
Source: RefSeq, marked provisional